AUGUUUGCCCUUCGCCGCCCCUCCGCCUACUCCACCAACGCGGCCGCCACCGCCUACGCCGUCAGCGACACCUCCGUCUUCCUCGACCGCACCAGGGUGGAGUAUGUUUCCAACAAGGUAAUGGAGAUGGCUGCCCAGAACAAGCAGAUAGCGAGCGCGAUCGGCGGGCCGAUGACGCCAGGGUUCUGGCACAACAUUUCCAUUGCCUGGAAGUGGAACCUCGCGAGGCAUUACCUCUCCGGCACUCUCCAGGUAUCCGGGCCCCAAGGAGACGGCCUUCUUACCUUCGAGGCGGUUCGCUCUAGAGAUAAAUCCUGGUUCCGGUUUCUAAGAUACAGCGACUGGGAGAUACCCAUAAUGGAUUCCAUCCUUGAUGUUCGUACUGAAGAUGGGAAGCACCAAAGAAUAAGCGUAAGGAUUCCAGACAACAUGACUGCUCCACCACCUCAAGAGAAGACACGUUAUUUCGUCAUUACUCAGAACAUGAUCGCUAUCAAGAAGUGA
RNAcentral lists this ribosomal RNA (504 nucleotides) under Triticum aestivum (bread wheat). Its description in RNAcentral is "partial small subunit ribosomal RNA". The record is from RNAcentral. Lineage: Eukaryota; Viridiplantae; Streptophyta; Magnoliopsida; Poales; Poaceae.